RNAcentral lists this long non-coding RNA (252 nucleotides) under Gossypium barbadense (sea-island cotton). Its description in RNAcentral is "long non-coding RNA (GBAR_LNC021223)". Lineage: Eukaryota; Viridiplantae; Streptophyta; Magnoliopsida; Malvales; Malvaceae. The record is from RNAcentral.
CCAAAUCCUAGCCCAAUAGCAGAAACCCUAGCCCAAAUAAAAAAAAACAAAAUGUUUGCAGCAGAAAACCCUAGGCGCAGCAUGCCUAGGGCGCGCCGCUCCAGCCUCUGCCCAACCCCUCGCACGCCUCUGCUCCGCGCCAGCCUCCACGACGCCCAUACCGUCUGACACUCACACCACCAACACCGGCCAUGCCCUGCAAUAGCAAUAAACACGCAGUAGAGAGAAAAAUAAAAAAAAAACAUAAACAAU